AGCUUUUUCUUCCAGUCAGCAUUAGGGUUUUAAACCCUAAACUGAACUUUUUUCCAUUCAGCCAGCAUUAGGGUUUUAAACCUUAAACUGAUCUUUUCCAUGCAAUCAGCAUUAGGGUUUUAAACCCUAAACUGAAUUUUUCCUUUAGUCAGCAUUAGGGUUUUAAACCCUAAACUGAACUUUUUUCCAUUCAGUCAGCAUUAGGGUUUUAAACCCUAAACUGAACUUUUUCCAUGCAAUCAGCAUUAGGGUUUUAAACCCCUAAACUAAAUUUUUCUUUUAGUCAGCAUUAGGGUUUUAAACCCUAAACUGAUUUUUCCAUUCAGCCAGCAUUAGG
This 337-nucleotide long non-coding RNA is filed under the name Nicotiana tabacum (common tobacco). RNAcentral's name for it is "long non-coding RNA (NTAB_LNC017256)". Lineage: Eukaryota; Viridiplantae; Streptophyta; Magnoliopsida; Solanales; Solanaceae. The record is from RNAcentral.